AGGCUUAACACAUGCAAGUCGAGGGGCAGCGGGGGUGUAGCAAUACGACUGCCGGCGACCGGCGCACGGGUGAGUAACACGUAUCCACCCUUCCGGUUACUCGGGAAUAGCCUUUCGAAAGAAAGAUUAAUGCCCGAUGGUAUAACAAGUCUGCAUGGAGUUGUUAUUAAAGAUUUAUCGGUAACCGAUGGGGAUGCGUUCCAUUAGGCAGUUGGCGGGGUAACGGCCCACCAAACCGACGAUGGAUAGGGGUUCUGAGAGGAAGGUCCCCCACAUUGGAACUGAGACACGGUCCAAACUCCUGCGGGAGGCAGCAGUGAGGAAUAUUGGUCAAUGGGCGAGAGCCUGAACCAGCCAAGUAGCGUGAAGGAUGACUGCCCUAUGGGUUGUAAACUUCUUUUAUGCGGGAAUAACAAGCGGCACGUGUGCCGUUCUGCAUGUACCGUAUGAAUAAGCAUCGGCUAACUCCGUGCCAGCAGCCGCGGUAAUACGGAGGAUGCGAGCGUUAUCCGGAUUUAUUGGGUUUAAAGGGAGCGCAGACGGGUCUUUAAGUCAGUUGUGAAAGUUUGCGGCUCAACCGUAAAAUUGCAGUUGAUACUGGAGACCUUGAGUGCGGUAUAGGCAGGCGGAAUUCGUGGUGUAGCGGUGAAAUGCUUAGAUAUCACGAAGAGCUCCGAUUG
RNAcentral lists this ribosomal RNA (680 nucleotides) under uncultured Bacteroides sp. RNAcentral describes it as "bacterial SSU rRNA". It matches the Rfam family "Bacterial small subunit ribosomal RNA", at positions 44 to 715 of the family's 1533-position model. Lineage: Bacteria; Pseudomonadati; Bacteroidota; Bacteroidia; Bacteroidales; Bacteroidaceae. The record is from RNAcentral.